UCCCUGGUGGUCCAGUGGUUAGGACUUGGCAUUUUUCACUGCCUGGGUCCAGGUUCAAUCCCUGGUUGGGGAA
Molecule: transfer RNA, 73 nt
Filed under: Capra hircus (goat)
Lineage: Eukaryota; Metazoa; Chordata; Mammalia; Artiodactyla; Bovidae
Also listed under: 1 other name
Rfam family: tRNA
About the family: Transfer RNA (tRNA) molecules are approximately 80 nucleotides in length.
Source: Rfam by way of RNAcentral